RNAcentral lists this ribosomal RNA (2028 nucleotides) under Triticum aestivum (bread wheat). Its description in RNAcentral is "partial small subunit ribosomal RNA". Lineage: Eukaryota; Viridiplantae; Streptophyta; Magnoliopsida; Poales; Poaceae. The record is from RNAcentral.
AUGGGUUUCUCUGAGGCUGUGCAAUGGUUUGAUGAGUGGCAGCUGCGCAUUCUGGUGCUAGCAAGCCUCUUCAUCCAGUACUUCCUCUUCUUCUCCUCCGUGGUGCGCAGGUAUAAUGUUCCAUCAUGGCUCAGGCUGUUCAUGUGGCUUGCCUACCUAGGCGGGGAUGCCCUGGCCAUAUACGGCCUGGCCACCCUCUUCAACCGCCACAAGCAGCUGCCCACCGAUGGGAGCGGCCUGGAGGUCCUAUGGGCGCCUGUCCUCCUAAUCCACCUCGGGGGCCAGCACCCGAUGACGGCCUACAGCAUCGAAGACAAUGAGCUGUGGGCGCGGCAAGCCAUAACCGUGGUGUCCCAGGUCACGGUCGCCCUCUACGUCUUUUGCAAGUCGUGGUCCGGGGAGAAGAGGUUACUUCAGACGGCAAUCUUGUUGUUUGUCGUUGGGAUCGUAAGAUCCGUCCAGAAGCCAUGGGCUCUAAAGAAUGGUAGUAUCACUGACAUGGUCGCCUCUUCCUCUCCAUACACGCGAAGGGAACAAGGUUCUUUUGCAUUUAUCUGGGAAGGCUGCAUAUCCCUUGUUGGCACUGAAUUGUCCGACAAUGGGAAACAAGAAGAAGAAGCCGAAGAGCUGGACAUUCCGCUUGAAGAAUUUGUACAAGAAGCAAGAAGGUGCGUACUGCUGUCAGAGUUAGCCAGUGAUCAAGAGAAAGCAGAAAAACUUGCUACAAGCUCUGGGGAAAUGUAUGCCUACAGGCUACUUGUAGACAUAUCAAAACCAUACUCUAGUCGGGUUGAAAUGCUACACCUUUUAAUGGCCCUUGAUUGCCAACAUGCACAUUCCAUCUCAAAAUCCAUACUCCAUUGGUUAUUUGCGAUCCUCUACACAAAUUUGAAUAUGAUAUUAAGUCUCUUUGGCUUAUGUUUGCACCUCUUGCCUCCAUUCCUGACCUUAGCUUCUGUCAUCCUCUUCUCCACAAGCCACAAAUAUCAUGACUACAACACAGCAGAUGUGAAGGUAACACACAUCCUGUUCUGUUGUACCUUGCCGCUGGAUUUCCUAUUGCUAUUGGUCAGUCCUUUCAUUGAGGAAUUUGGAUGCAUCAAGGUUUCCCAGUAUAGCCUCCUGUCGUUCUAUGCUCGUAAGAAGAGGCCCACUACUUUGUUGAAGCUUGCCACAGUUGUGCGCUGCGAGGACUAUGUUAACAUGCAUUGUUAUAUAGAACACGGACCAUCUGAUUCCUCAAACACAAUUAUAGAGUUGGUUUUUGGAUAUGUGAGGGAUGGGUGGACAAGAUACAUCAACGACGCUACCAGCUACAAGAGAUUCAACAGCCACGGGGGCGAGUGGACAUUGAACCAGCAUCAUCUAGGCCACGCCAAACGGCUGGGGUGGAGCUUGAAGAUGGCGUUCGAUAGAAGCGUCCUUCUCUGGCACAUCGCCACGGACCUCUGCUUUCACCACCAAAGUACAACCCCUCACGGCCAAGAGCGUGCCGCUAAAAGCAGAGUGAUAUCCAACCACUUGGCUUACCUGCUCUGCAUCCGUCCUGAGAUGUUGAUGCUCGGGACCAGGAAAAGUAUCUUCAGUAUUGCCUGUGAAGAUAUCAAGCUCACGAUGGCUGGCAAGUUAGAAGCGGACGUAAGAAGACUUGCACAAGUAAUUCUUCACAGGUCGCAACAUGUUAGCAACAUAGGAGUCUUGGUCCCCAAUGCAUCCAAGCUUGCUGAAGCAUUGAUGGAGCUGCAGGAUGAACAGGUGAGGUGGGAGGUGAUCCAGGGGGUAUGGGUCGAGAUGCUAUGCUAUUCUGCCAGUACGUGCAGGGGGUACUUGCAUGGCAAGAACAUGAAUGAAGGUCCGGAGCUGCUCUCUCAAGUUUGGAUCCUCUUGUCAUUCAUGGGGAUGGAGACAUCUGCCGACAGGUAUCAAAAGUCAGAGCCUCCCGAAACCAUGGAAGAAGAAGAGGUAGAAGGUGGAGACGUUGGUGGUGAAGGCGGAUCCAUCCAGCACGAGAUUAACAUACCUGUCUAA